GCCCUGUUAGCGCAGUAGGCAGCGCGUUAGUCUCAUAAUCUAAAGGUCCUGAGUUCGACCCUCAGACAGGGUA
This 73-nucleotide transfer RNA is filed under the name Paramuricea clavata. It matches the Rfam family "tRNA". Rfam says of the family: Transfer RNA (tRNA) molecules are approximately 80 nucleotides in length. Their secondary structure includes four short double-helical elements and three loops (D, anti-codon, and T loops). Further hydrogen bonds mediate the characteristic L-shaped molecular structure. tRNAs have two regions of fundamental functional importance: the anti-codon, which is responsible for specific mRNA codon recognition, and the 3' end, to which the tRNAs corresponding amino acid is attached (by aminoacyl-tRNA synthetases). tRNAs cope with the degeneracy of the genetic code in two manners: having more than one tRNA (with a specific anti-codon) for a particular amino acid; and 'wobble' base-pairing, i.e. permitting non-standard base-pairing at the 3rd anti-codon position. Lineage: Eukaryota; Metazoa; Cnidaria; Anthozoa; Malacalcyonacea; Plexauridae. The record is from Rfam by way of RNAcentral.